GGUCCAAUGCCACUUUGUUCGUAGCUACGGGCAAUGACUGGCAAUGAACCUGUGUUUUGCAUGCCGAUAGGAACCUGUGGACGUGUUUUUAUCCUUCAUCCGUGGAGCCGAUUUCUGCGAUUACAUCU
Small nucleolar RNA from Malania oleifera, 128 nucleotides. RefSeq annotates it as small nucleolar RNA snoR2/U65. The transcript has a single exon. The record is from RefSeq and is a predicted model, not a curated record. Lineage: Eukaryota; Viridiplantae; Streptophyta; Magnoliopsida; Santalales; Ximeniaceae.